UACGAAGGGGGCUAGCGUUGCUCGGAAUCACUGGGCGUAAAGGGUGCGUAGGCGGGUUUUUAAGUCAGGGGUGAAAUCCUGGAGCUCAACUCCAGAACUGCCUUUGAUACUGAGAGGCUCGAGUCCGGGAGAGGUGAGUGGAACUGCGAGUGUAGAGGUGAAAUUCGUAGAUAUUCGCAAGAACACCAGUGGCGAAGGCGGCUCACUGGCCCGGUACUGACGCUGAGGUGCGAAAGCGUGGGGAGCAAACAGG
Molecule: ribosomal RNA, 253 nt
Filed under: uncultured bacterium
Lineage: Bacteria
Description: partial 16S ribosomal RNA
Rfam family: Bacterial small subunit ribosomal RNA
Source: RNAcentral